GGUUGGUGGAGUGAUUUGUCUGCUUAAUUGCGAUAACGAACGAGAUCUCUGCCAAUAAAUAGAUGCCUCUUCCGCUUGUACACAAAGGCCCCCGCGGGUCAAACUGUGGGGGGUUCCAGAGUGGAGGAGGAGGAUUUUUACUUAUUGGGAUUAUGCAUUCUUCCAAAUGCAUUGAGACGAGAGCCAAUAGCAGGUCU
This 197-nucleotide ribosomal RNA is filed under the name Discoba sp. Its description in RNAcentral is "partial small subunit ribosomal RNA". It matches the Rfam family "Eukaryotic small subunit ribosomal RNA", at positions 1296 to 1463 of the family's 1831-position model. The record is from RNAcentral.